AUGAAGGACGCGUUCCUGGCUGAACUUGCUGUCGCUGCACCACCACUAGGCCAACCCUGGCUGCUGGUUGGCGACUUCAACAUCAUCUAUCAAGCUAGGGAUAAGAGUAAGCUCAACUUAAAUAGGCAGAUCAGGGGUAGAUUCACGAACGCCGUUGAUUUCGCAGGGCUUAGGGAAAUUAAGUGUAAAAAUAGGAGGUUCACUUGGAGUAGCGAGCGCGAACAACUGACUUUCUACAGCAUCGACAAAUUCCUU
RNAcentral lists this ribosomal RNA (255 nucleotides) under Triticum aestivum (bread wheat). Its description in RNAcentral is "partial small subunit ribosomal RNA". Lineage: Eukaryota; Viridiplantae; Streptophyta; Magnoliopsida; Poales; Poaceae. The record is from RNAcentral.